RNAcentral lists this transfer RNA (73 nucleotides) under Bos taurus (domestic cattle). It matches the Rfam family "tRNA". Rfam says of the family: Transfer RNA (tRNA) molecules are approximately 80 nucleotides in length. Their secondary structure includes four short double-helical elements and three loops (D, anti-codon, and T loops). RNAcentral also lists the same sequence under 5 other names. The record is from Rfam by way of RNAcentral. Lineage: Eukaryota; Metazoa; Chordata; Mammalia; Artiodactyla; Bovidae.
UUCCUGGUGAUCCAGUGGUUAAGACUCUGCAUUCCCACUGCAGAGGGCACAGGUUCAAUCCCUGGUCAAGGAA